UGAGGAAUAUUGGUCAAUGGGCGGAAGCCUGAACCAGCCAUCCCGCGUGAAGGAAGAAGGCCUUAUGGGUUGUAAACUUCUUUUCUGUUUGAAGAAUAAGCUUGUCGAGACAAGUGAUGCCGGUAGGACAGGUAUAAGCAUCGGCUAACUCCGUGCCAGCAGCCGCGGUAAUACGGAGGAUGCAAGCGUUAUCCGGAUUUAUCGGGUUUGAAGGGUGCGCAGGUGGUUUAAUAAGUCAGUGGUGAAAGUCUGCCGCUUAACGGUAGGAUUGCCAUUGAUACUAUUGGACUUGAAUAUGGAUGAGGUAGGCGGAAUGUGUAGUGUAGCGGUGAAAUGCUUAGAUAUUACACAGAACACCGAUUGCGAAGGCAGCUUACUACUCCAUGAUUGACGCUGAGGCACGAAAGCGUGGGGA
Molecule: ribosomal RNA, 415 nt
Filed under: uncultured bacterium
Lineage: Bacteria
Description: bacterial SSU rRNA
Rfam family: Bacterial small subunit ribosomal RNA
Source: RNAcentral